Molecule: long non-coding RNA, 210 nt
Filed under: Phoenix dactylifera (date palm)
Lineage: Eukaryota; Viridiplantae; Streptophyta; Magnoliopsida; Arecales; Arecaceae
Description: long non-coding RNA (PDAC_LNC019557)
Source: RNAcentral
AUUUCGAAUUUCAAAUUUCAGAAUUUAAUAACUACGAAAUUACUAACUAAAAAUAAUCAAAAUAAGGAAAAUUAAUAAAAAUAAAAAAACUUACUACCGAAGUGUGUUCACUCCGGGUAUCCAAAAUCCGAUUUGAUCUUCGUGAUCGUUUUUGCUUCUCGAUUUGCCUCCCCGGCAACGGCGCCAAAAUUUUGUUCGUCCUUUUCUGUC